Molecule: ribosomal RNA, 253 nt
Filed under: uncultured bacterium
Lineage: Bacteria
Description: partial 16S ribosomal RNA
Rfam family: Bacterial small subunit ribosomal RNA
Source: RNAcentral
GACGAACCGUCCUAACGUUGUUCGGAAUCACUGGGCUUAAAGGGCGCGUAGGCGGACCGCCAAGUCCGGGGUGAAAUCUUUCGGCUUAACCGGAAAAUUGCCUUGGAUACUGGCGGUCUCGAGGGAGGUAGGGGCAUGUGGAACUUCCGGUGGAGCGGUGAAAUGUGUUGAUAUCGGAAGGAACGCCGGUGGCGAAAGCGACGUGCUGGACCUCUUCUGACGCUGAGGCGCGAAAGCCAGGGGAGCAAACGGG